CACGUAGUUAGCCGGGGCUUCCUCCUUGGGUACCGUCAGUUCUUCUUCCCCAAGGACAGAAGUUUACGACCCGAAGGCCUUCUUCCUUCACGCGGCGUCGCUGCAUCAGGCUUUCGCCCAUUGUGCAAUAUUCCCCACUGCUGCCUCCCGUAGGAGUUUGGACCGUGUCUCAGUUCCAAUGUGGCCGUUCACCCUCUCAGGUCGGCUACUGAUCGUCGCCUUGGUAAGCCGUUACCUUACCAACUAGCUAAUCAGACGCAGGCCCAUCCUUUGCCGAUAAAUCUUUGACCAUCUGCUCAUGUAACCAAAUGGUGUUAUCUAGGUUUUAAUCAUUCGUUCCAAUGGCUAUCCCUGUGCAAAGGGCAGGUUGCCUGCGCGUUACUCACCCGUCCGCCGCUUCCACUCGACUCCUUCAACCGAGUAUCUGUCAUCAGCUUCUCGCUCGACUUGCAUGUGUAGGCACGCCGCCAGCGUUCA
This 477-nucleotide ribosomal RNA is filed under the name uncultured Eubacteriales bacterium. RNAcentral's name for it is "uncultured Clostridiales bacterium partial 16S ribosomal RNA". The record is from RNAcentral. Lineage: Bacteria; Bacillati; Bacillota; Clostridia; Eubacteriales.